GAACACCCCAGCCACGGCCGAAGGGAAAAAAAACCCCCACACAUAAAAGCCUCCAAUCCAGCUGGCAAACUAAAGAGCCCACCACAACAGAGCUGGAGUCACAGUGAGUCGACUGCAACAAGUGGUACUAAAGGAUUGAUUCAGUGGAUCAGAUCUCCAGGGUUACAUAAACUAUCAUGGCCUGAAUUAAGGAUGAGGUCAACUGUGAGUUGCUGCUGAAAGAAGAAUUCUCCAGAAAAUCCACUUCCACAGGCAAGGAACAAAUGGAAAAUGAAAAGUGAAGCUUCACCCAAAAUCACUUCCUGAAACAAUCACCUUUCCAUCAACUCACCUCUCUUUGGUGGGCAAAAAGAGAGUGAGCAGACAAAUGUGAGCAGGAAAUGCCUUCCAGUCAAACCCUCCCGGUGAUCAAGUGCAAAGAGAAGUGGGUCAUUCACACAGGCAUACAGGAACUGUCAGCACCAGCAGGCUGAGUGAAGAGCAAGGGGAAAGCUCCAAGCUCACAGUCAAAUCAUCACCAGAGCAAGUGGAAAACUGAAGUGUAUAUAUCAAUAAAAGAUGUUCCAGGAGGAAAGAAUUCAACUUUCACAAGAGAAAGGUAAAAGCAAACAAACUUGUAAAGAAAGGUAAGGUCAGAAGGGAUCCAAGCAUAUUUGUGGUUUAGUUUUCAAGUCUUUAGGUAAUACUGUGCAAGCAAAAAGGAUUCAUUUUCCUAGAGCCUCUAAUGUAGUGCCUGGAAUGUUUUGAACACAAAUUAGAAUUGUGCUACACAGAAAAUAAUAACAGGCAGAAAACUUGCUAAAUUUCUUUUUUCUAGUAGUUUAAAGUAUCUAUUUUCACAGAUAUUUUAAAAUAUUUUAGCCUAAAACAUGUUUAGGGCCUCUAUAGCUCCCUAUCAAUUAGUCAGCUAACCAUCACUAAAAAGGAGCUUUUCCAGUCUUGUUUCUGUUGUGAAGAACGAGUGGAAAAAGCUAUUACACCAUCAGAGACAUAAUAUACACAUCUGGUGAAUCACUUGAUGAGCACACAGAAUGCCAGAAAGCUCCCUGUUUGACAUGAGUGUAAUUAUGCCAGAAACAGCCCCUUUUGGUAACAGCAUUAAAGCACUUGUGAUGCAGCUGAGCAGUAGCAAGGUUUCUUCCACAGUGGCAGAGUUUUCAUAUGGAAAUCUGGAGUACCUACACACACACAGAGUUAUAUUUGAUUUGGAAAAAAUGUUGAAUGAAAUGUAAAUCAAAAAUAUAAAAGCAAAACUUGCCUUCUCCCCCAAAAACCUGAACAACACCAAGUAUCCAACACCUUUGAAUAACUGGUGUUUGAUUUUUCUAUUUGUGUGGUUAAUGUGUACUUUAAGGAUAUUGAAUGGUCACAAAGUAUACCUCAUACAAAGAUACUGACAUAUCAUAAAGUAAGCACUCCUGGUUUUGUCUGUGCAGCAGAACUUGAAAUGGAAUUCUCCUCUGUCACCUGGGAAUUUUAAGCUCUUACAGGCAAUUUCAGUCUUAUUUUGCUUAAGGAGCAAAACAAACCUUUGCAUGACCACCAGUGCAAUACAAGUCACAAAUACCUGCAGGCAGAAGAACCCAAACCUUUCAAGGGGCUGAUUGCUGGUGAAGACCAAACUAAAAUAUAUUAAUUAUUUUUAUUUUAGUGGUGUGUCAGCAUGACUACAAACUUCAUUGUGCCUCUCUCAGGGGUAAAACUUUAAAAGGAAGGGAAGACAUUUAAGCAAAAGCUGAAACCCCUAGAAACUCCAGCAUAAAAUUUAAAAACUAUCUUGAACAGAAGGUUCUUCUACUGCAAUGAAGUGCACUAAUUUGAGAAAAAUCAGGGUUUUUUACUGCUUUUCUAUUUUUUAAAAUGUUUUUAAAAAGUGGCAUGUUUUUAUAGCUCAGUAAAUGAGGGCAAUUUGUAACAGAGUUGUGCCUCAUGUGACUAUACAGUUUUUGCAUUUGGCAUCAUAAAGUGACACAGAAACGUGUUGUUCCAUUAA
Long non-coding RNA from Parus major (Great Tit), 1993 nucleotides. RefSeq lists it as uncharacterized. The record is from RefSeq and is a predicted model, not a curated record. The transcript is spliced from 5 exons. Lineage: Eukaryota; Metazoa; Chordata; Aves; Passeriformes; Paridae.